GUUCCAAGUCUCAUCUUAUUCCCCAUCAUACCCACAUACCUCAAGAAGUCCUCAGAUUGGCUUUACAUUCAAACAGAAGAUGGGUCCUCUGAGAUUCCAUGCCAGCGAUACCUUGGUGACUGGAAAUGAUUAUCCAGACGUGGCGGCUGAUGUUCCAGAGAGAUACCGUCCUCCUCCGCAAGGCUCUUCACCGGUGUACGAAGGCCUUCCUAUAGAAUACAUUGACGCUGAUUCAAAGUCGAGUAAGGAGCAGCUGCUGGAAGCUUGGAAAAGGUUUCUUCCAGGACAGAGAAUGGCAAUGGCUACGUCGGACGUCUCUGCCUUGUCCGGCAGUGUUGAGGUAUUGCUAAACAAAGUUUACUUGUUUACUUGAGGUACGACACAUAGUAGUGCUGCCGAAUAUAUCAUUUGCACACUUACAUGCACAAGGCAGAUUUCUUCACAUACAUGGGUGGUUCAAAGUUGACG
This 468-nucleotide long non-coding RNA is filed under the name Eptatretus burgeri (inshore hagfish). RNAcentral describes it as "lncRNA (ENSEBUG00000017532.1)". Lineage: Eukaryota; Metazoa; Chordata; Myxini; Myxiniformes; Myxinidae. The record is from RNAcentral.